UGUGAUGUGUACAGCUUUGGAGUUGUGGCGCUUGAAACUUUGAUGGGAAGGCAUCCGGGAGAUAUCCUAUCAUCAUCUGCUCAGGCUAUUACACUGAAAGAAGUGUUAGAUCCUCGUUUGCCACCUCCAACAAAUGAGAUUGUCGUACAAAAUAUAUGUACCAUUGCAAGUCUUAUAUUUUCUUGCUUACAUUCAAAUCCAAAAAAUCGACCUUCGAUGAAAUUUGUGUCUCAAGAAUUUCUAUCUCCCAAGAGAUUAUUGGGAGGUCUCGAGAUUUCUUUGUUGGAGCUUCGAAAUCUUGGCUGGCACACAAAUGUAGGUGAGAUCAUAGUUCCUCGCUGAAAAAGUCAACUUCGAGCUCACAUGGAACUUCAACGAGAGCGCCUCCAAGAGUAUGUGUUUAUAGAAUUUCUUAAUUUUGGAUGAACUUUUUUUCUUUUGUUUUGUUUUAGCACACUACACGACUUUGUAAUAUUUUAGUGUGACAUUGUAUGUAAUUCUAAUAAUGCACACUUUUCUUGUGCAUGAUAACUAGUAUCAAUAUAUAUGAGCAUCAUAUUAAGUCUACCUCUCUAUACGUCGAGGUUAAAUUGAAAUCAUCACUCAUCUUAUAAUUAGGCAAAUCCACACUUGAAAUAUGCAGAAGAUAUUUGUUAACUACAUUAAUUUGUCCCUGCAAGCUCUUGUAUAAUAGAUGCCUGAAAGUAGUGAUUGGAUCUACUCUCUACAGUCUGUUCUGACUCCUAUAACUAUCUGAGCAACAUGUUUUGUUUCCCCCCCCCUGAAUGAUGCACCUUAUUAUUUAUCAUUUGGCACAGAUUGAAUUUUCAAUCAUCUUCCACUCCAAAUGAAGAUUUACGUCUCAUGUUAGGGACCAAGCUUUGACCUCAAGGAUAGUGAGUCGAGAUGUCCACCCUCCAUAUACUAGAUAGACAUGCCCCAACAUCGGCCACCAUGUCUAUCUAGUAAAAUGUACAAGAUCCCUAGCUAUAGAUUAUUUUCAAUCUCAGAGACAUUUACUAACAGAGAAAAUAUAUCAUAGUAUCCGAUUAUGAGUGUCGCACGUGUGCAGCGUCGCGGCGAAAAUAACAUAGUUGUUUGUUUUCAUUUUCUUAAUCUACAAUGUAAAUCUAUCUAUAUCUAUGGGGAUACAAGAAAAUACUGUCUUUUAUUGGUAGAAAAUGGAAUGGGAGUCGCCACCUAGUAUUUUGGUCACUAGGAACCCUAACUGGUCUCAGAGAUCGGGUACGGGGACUGGUUGCGUAAAGAAAAGGUAUUAGCACCCCAAAUACGCCCUAUCUAAGGUAAGCUGCAUUGUUUUAUUGUCUGAUAAAAUCUAAGGUCUUUUCGUGUUUUCCUAGUUGCUUGUAUGGUUUAAGAAAAGUCCUCCCCUGUAAGGAGAUCCUUAUCUUAAAGGGUAAUCCUAACCGUUCUAACUUCUAUACCAAAACUUUAUUAAUAGUAUUUAGGAAUACGUUUUACAUAUAAAUUCGUAAUCCCAAAUACUACAAGAAAACAAAAAGAUUUUUUUAGAAUUUUUGAAAUAUUGGCCUAAUUCUCAUGGCUUGAAUAAACUGGUUAUUAAAGCCAAAAUGCAUGCUAAUACAUAUAUUGUUUUGAGAAUUUUCUUUGUUGUGUGAAAAUAUGAUGUUAUAAUAUUUAUAUAUAUAUAUUGGAGAGACUAGGCCGUAUUUUAAAACAAAAACAAUUUUUUUUGAAUUUUUUUUUUAUGCUUUGACGAAAAUUGGGUAUUUUAAUAAUGAGUUUGUAUCCUUACGGUAUAAAAAUACUAACCAACAUUAAUCCACCUUAAUAAAAAAUAUGCAGGAAAAAUCAACAAUAUUUUUAAAGAACUUUUGGAAUUUUUUGAAAGUAAAAACAUUUUUUAUUUUGAAAAUCUUUGAUGUUUUGACGAAAACCGGGUAUUUUAAUACUGGAUUUAUAUCUUUACGGUAUAAAAAUACAAACCAACAUUAAGCCAUUUUGACAAAAAUAUGCAGGAAAAUCAAUAAUAUUUUUCAAGAUUUUUUAGAAUAUAUUUUUUAAAAUAUACAUACAUAUAUAAUAUAAUAUAAUAUAUAAUAGUAUAUAAUAUAAUAUAUUAUGUGGGCCGGCCCGGCCCAACCGAAUGGGCCAGACUCAGCCCAGCAGGAAUGGGGCCGAUUUCGGCCCAGAAUGGAUUGGGCCGAUCUCGGCCCAAUAAAAAACUCAUAUCUAGGCCGGACUUGGCCCAUAUAGCUGGGAUGGGCCAGACCUGGUCUAGCCCAUCAAACACAGGGAUGGGCCAGACCCAGUCUGGCCCAAAAAAAUGCUGGGCCAGGAUCCGCCUGGCCCAGCUACGCAUCGUCAGGGGGGAAAUUAUUUCCCCCCUCCUCCUGCAUGCAGAACGUUCGUUCUGCAUGCAGGGAAACAAAUUAAAAUGCCAACAGCUAGGGGGGAGAAGAAGUUACCUGGCGUGGAAGAGGCGGUCGCGGGUGGUGCUGCGGUGGAGGCCGGUGGUCGUCGUGGCUCACGGACGGCGGCUCCCAGCGGCGGUGCUGCUGCUCAAACGGCGAAAAAAAGAUUUUCUUCCUCUUCCCCUCUUCUUUUUUUCGUUUUCGGUAUUUCUUUCUUUUCCUUCCUUUCUCUUUGUUUUCUGUUUUCUUUUCUUUUGUUUUCGAUUUAUUCUUUCCUCUUUUCUCUCUCUCUUCGGUCUCCUCUCUCUCUCCUCCCUUCGGUCCGUUUUUUUUCCUUUUCUUUUUGUUCUCUCUUUAUAGGUGAGAAAAGGCGUUGGGACCGUUAUUAGUGCGCCUGGGGAGCGGGUUUCGCGGCGGCUGGUCGGCCGCCACCCGCGACAGCAAGGCACCGUUCCUUUACUUUCGGCCGGUGGUCGGCCAAUGACUUCGGUCGGUGGUCCCACGGUGUGGGGCUUCGGGCUGUUCGGUGGAGAUGCAGAGGAGAGAGGGGUGGGAAGAUUUUCAAAAACAAAGUUUUCUUCCUUCUGUUGCAGGUUCGGGGGGAGGGGAAGAAGAAAGGGGAACAGUGUCGUUCAAAACGGCACCGUUCAGUCUUUUUUUUUUUUUUUUUUAUGUAUGAAACAACGUCGUUUUGGAGAAAACGCGCCGUUUCAUUUAAAAAUGGCCCUAGAACGCGCCAAAUUUCCAACUUAGGCCUCAAUCAUCUUUGUUCAUUUCAAUUGCGUCCCUGCCAAUUUCGAUCCCCGCCCCCAUAGUUGGCCGCGAUUUUCACUUUGGUCCUUGGCCUCUGAUUUAUGCAAUUAAGCCCUCAAUUGAUCAAUAAGCUUCCAAUUUCUUCAAUUAGGCCCCUGAAUCAAUUCAAAACAGCCCCCCCUCUAUUUACCCGCUUUUUCCAAAUUGGUCUCUGGUUUCGAAUUUUCACAAUUAAACCCCUAAUUGGCCAUUAAACUUCAAUAUUUAUGCAAUUAAGCCCCUGAUUUGACCCAAUAAAUUCCUAAAAAAUAUAUUUUGGCCCCAGAACUUAAAUUUCUUCUAAUUAAAGCCCAAAUUGACUUAAAAAUCGAUUUUUCUUGCAAUCAAAUCCUCUAUAAAUUCAAAUAAAAAUCCAAUUAAGUCCAUAAACAUCCAAAUUUGAACUUUUCUCCUCAAACUUCCAAUUUUCUUAUCCAAUAGGGCUCUCAUCAUUCAAGAAUAUAUUGUCAAAAAUCCAUCUUUGUAUUUUUAAUCUCCUUGACCGAUUUUUCUGACCAUUUGCUGAGCGCUUCUGCCUCCUGAUAUUUUUCUAACCUCCUUUGGCUAUUUAUUUUAUUUCAUUUAUUUGGGGACCCGAAAAUGGGUUACAACAAUGAGCACAUGAUUUCUUCGUAUCAGCAUCUGAUUUAUAAAAUAUUGAAACCAAUUUUUAAAGUUGAAAUUCUUUACCUUUGUCGCACCCCCACAAAAAAACAAAUUUCAAUUUGCGAUUUUACGGGUUCGACUGGCGAAUUUUUAUUUUUUGGUUUGAUUUGGUUCUUUGGAGUCGCCACCUAGUAUUUUGAUCACUAGGAACCUUAACUGGUCUCAGAGAUCAGGUACGGAGACUGGUUGCGUAAAGGGAAGGUAUUAGCACCCCAAAUACGCCUUACCUGAGGUAAACUGCAUUGUUUUAUUGUCUGAUAAAAAAAAAACUAAAGUGUUAUUAUGUUUUUCUAGUUGUUGGUCUGUCUAUGGUUCAAGAAAAAUCCCCCUCGGUAAGGAGGUCUUUAUCUUAUCGGGUAAAAAUCCUAACCGUUCUAACGUCCAUACCAAAAUUUUAUUAAUAAUAUUUAGGAAUACGUUUUACGUAUAAAUUCGUAAUCCCAAAUAUUAAAAGAAAACAAAAAGAUUUUUUUUAGAAUUUUUGAAAUAUUGGCCUAGUUCUCAUGGCUUGAAUAAACUGGUUAUUAAAGCCAAAAUGCAUGUUAAUACAUAUAUUGUUUUUUGAAAAUUUUCUUUGUUGUGUGAAAAUAUGAUGUUAUAAUAUUUAUGUAUAUAUAUUGGAGAGACUAGGCCGUAUUUUAAAACAAAAACAAUUUUUGGAAAAUAUUAUUUUUUUUAUGCUUUGACGAAAAUCGGGUAUUUUAAUACUGAGCUUGUAUCCUUACGGUAUAAAAAUACAACCCAAUAUUAAUCCAUUUUGAUAAAAAUAUGCAGAAAAAUCAACAACAUUUUUAGGGACUUUGUAGAAUUUUUUGAAAGCAAAACAUUUUUUAUUCUGAAAAUCUUUGAUAUUUUGACGAAAACCGUGUAUUUUAAUACCAGAUUUGUAUCUUUACAAUAUAAAAAUACAAACUGAUAUUGACCAAAAUACAGUAAUAAAAUUACAGAAAAAUCACAAAUUCUUUGAAAUAUCUUUUUUUGAAAAUUUUUUAUUUUUUUUUAUAUAUAUAUAUAUAUUUUUUUGGGUGAGGCCCACGUGGCUGGGCUGCACCCAGCAAGCCUCAUGUGAACAGUGAAUCAUGUCUUAUGUGAACAGUGAAUAGCAUUUCACUGUUCAAUUGAAUUAUAUUUGAUGUGAACAGUGAAUUAACAUUUCACUUGAACAGUAAAAUGCAAGGAAAUGGUGCAUGCACAGCGACGAAAGGGGGUGCAAACCUGGUGGCAGAAACGAUGCCGAAGUCGAUGGCUAACACUCCCAGUGAUGCUGGUGGCGGUGGACAGGAAGCCAAUGGGGGUUCACGGUGGUUCUGACGGUGGCAGUGGUUGGGAAGCUCGAUGACAGCAGCUGCCUUCUCUUCUUCUUCCCCUUUACAGAGGCGUUUCUUCUUCUCUUGGUUUCUUUCAGUCAGCAAUGUUCUUCCCUCUCUAUGGCAGCUUUGUGAAGGCGCUGGUAGUGGUGGCCGGGGAGUGACUGGGACGGUGGUCGGUGACUGUGGAGUGUGGUGUUCAGCCUUUCUCCCUUUUCUUCUCUGCGUUCCUCUUCAGCUGUCUCCUCCUCUGUGUGCUGGGUUGGGCGCUAUUUAUAGAGCCAGUGGGCGUGGCUUCACCGUGGAGCCAAGGAGCGGGUCGGGGAGCGGCUCAUGUGAACAGUGAAUAGUAUUUCACUGUUCACGUGAAUUAUAUUUGAUAUGCACAGUGAUCUUAGCAUUUCACUGUUCACGUGAAUUAUAUUUGAUAUGCACAGUGGACUAGCAUUUCACUGUUCACGUGAAUUAUAUUUCACUUGAACAGUGAAAUGCAAGGAAAUGGUGUAUGCAGAACGACUUCCAAUUUUAAGAAUAAAAUUCAAUUGCGUCCCUGCCAAAUUCGAUCCCUACCCCUAUAGUUGGCCGCGUUUUUCAUUUUGGUCCUUGGCCUCUGAUUUUCACAAUUAAACCCCUAAUUGAUCAAUAAGCUUCCAAUUUCUUCAAUUAAACCCCUGAAUCAAUUCCAAACAGCCCCCUUUAUCUUUGCGCCUUCUCCAAAUUGGUCCCUGGUUUCGGAUUUUCACAAUUAAGUCCCUAAUUGGCCAUUAAACUUCAAUAUUUAUGCAAUUAAACCCCUGAUUUGACCCAAUAAAUUCCUAAAAAAUAUAUUUUGGCCCCAAAACUUAAAUUUCUUCUAAUUAAAGCACAAAUUGACUUAAAAAUCAAUUUUUCUUGCAAUCAAAUCUUCUAUAAAUUCAAAUAAAAAUUCAAUUAAGUCCAUAAACAUCCAAAUUUGGGCUUUUCUCCUCAAAAUUCAAAUUUUCCUUCUCAAUAGGGCUUUCAUCCUUCAAGAAUAUACUGUCAAAAAUUCAAUCCUUGUAUUUUUAAAUUCCUUGACCAAUUUAUCUAACUGUUUUCUGAGCGCUUCUGCCUCCUGUUAUUUUCUAACCUCUUUUGGCUAUUUAUUUUAUUUUUCAUGGGGACCCAAAAAUGGGUUACAACAACCUUGUUAUCACAUUGAUCAUCCCAUUAAUUUCCCCUUCAUGAUAUCCUUAAAUAAGAAAAAGCUUAGGGUAUGUGCAACUGUCCUGAAGCUCUUAGACAAUCCAGGAGAAAAAAUUUAUUUGGCACAUCAUAUAUUUCCUUGGACGGUCGUUCAUAAAUCGUAUAUGCUAAAUGUUUUACAUACUCUAAUUAUAACAAAUGAUUAUGUAUGACAGUUCACAUUCUCCUGCAUGAAAGCUCUAUGUACCCAUUAUCUUGGUGACAAUUGACAAGUCGCCGAUGCAAUUCUGCAAUUAUAUUAGAAUGCAAGGAUGAUAUAUUUAUUUAGGAUUUUAUAAAUUAUCCCAUGGCUGUGUAUAUUCAAUAAUUUUGUUUAAUGAUUACAGCCCCACAUCAGUUUCUUGUUCGAGGCUUUUCGGGCCUUCAAUUGAACCUAAACAAAAACAAACUAUUCCAACAUGAACACGAAACAAAGCCGAAGAAGCUAUGGGCUUAAUUAAGCCUUUUUAUACGAGCAAGACGAAUCAGCACGAGAUUUCAAAUUCCUGCAAGAAUUACUAGAACCCACAAACGUGGCAACUCAAGGGCCUCAUCAUCCAAAACCAAAAUGCAAGUACUCCCCUAAAAGAUAAGAUUGUAGGGUUGUACAGGUCUCCUUCUGCAAUUACUUGUCAAGUCCUCCAACUAUUGCCUAAUUCUUAAUCAAGUCCCUCAAUCCAAAUUGGAUAUCCAUCACACAUUAUCCAAUUCACCCGUCACCAUAAAAAAAAUUAAAAAUUGAAAUAACUAAUUUGUUUAAGAUGGAUGGUUCUAUGGUUCUGAUUUACAAAUCUUGAGAUCAAACUUAGAAUCCCAUGAAAGUCUUUGGUUUAGAAUAAAUAAAUCAUCUCUUUUUAGAUUAAAAGUUACUUCUAACACGAUAAUAAAAAAUAGUUAAGUCUAGUUUUAUGAUUUUAAAGAAAAACAUUUAAAAUCAAAAGUCAGUUUAAAAAAGAUCACGAGUAAUUCAUUCUAAAUAUUUACAGUAAACGGAGCCAGAAUUUCAAGAGCCUUUGAUUAUUAAAAUUAACACCUCACUUAAAAUCCAAACAAAUUUAGAAACGCGAGAAAGUCGUUCAGAUAAGGCUGAAAAAAGAAAAAAGAAACCAACGAUUUUUCAAUCUUCCCGCUUAUUGCUUAAUCAAGCAGAGAUGGUGGUUGCUUAGAUUUUCUCCUUCAAUUAUAGUUUAUCGUUCAGUUUCAACCAUAAACAGGCAAGACUCCCACGAAUCCAGGCUGUUUUCGGACACCAAUUAAGAAAUCUGAGAUAUCUCUUCACAUUGCCCUCAAUUAUUUGGUUGUGUCAUCUAGCAGGGCUCUUCUGAGAACGAUAGAGAUUUCUUUGGAUCUGAUGAUUUUGGUCUGAAGCCAAUCAGAACGGAAUCCACAUCAACAACGAAUACUUUCCAGAAAAAGAGUAUAUUUUUUGAAGAAUCUGUUGCAGGUUCCCCAAUGUCAAGAUUUGGCAACUCUCCAAGGUUCAGCGAAGCAGGGGACCAUUUUGACAAUUACUCGAGAUUUGAUUCCUUCAGCAUGAAUGAAGGAGGCUUUUCACCACGAGAAAAGCUUACAAGGUUCGACUCCAUAAACAGCUCCAAAGAUUUUGGCCACAGCCGUGCAUUCUCUUCAUUUGGGUUUUGCAUGUCGGAUUUGGCCCCGAUUUGAUGAUUUUUUGGGUGAAUCUAUUUUAUCUAUAACGUAGUAAGUAAAUAGCUAUUCCCGGAAUAAUAAAGGAAUGUUGAAGUUGAUUCGGCUUUUCCCGGGGAAAAGAUAAAAAGAUCAUUCCUUCUGUAUUUUGGAAUGCUAGAUAUAGGUACGGUGCUCGUAUUGUUUGUUUUCUUCACUAGAGUUUACUGCCCAACAUAAUUCCUGCUUCUUUAUUUUAUUUUCCCCGAAGAAGUUUAUAUAUGGGCAUGGUGCUCAUCAAAUGCAAUAGAUUUUGGAAAUGUAAACAAAAGUAUUUUCUGACAUUACGAGAGGGCUACGGUGCUUGUGCUGGAGUUUACUGCCCCACCUAUCAAAUUGCAGUGGUCAUAUGCAAAGAAAAGUCACUAAAAAGAGCAUCAUCAAUAUUCCAAGAAAGAUGGUCCUUCCAUAAUCAUCGAGUUAAUGGACCACAUACCGACACUGACAUUAAUUGUGUUUUCUUGUAGAAACAGAAAUGGGCCUUCUUCUUAUUACCAUAGGCAUGCUAAUGUGGCUGAUAUUUUUCCAGGACAUUAAACCAUGUCUGGUUGCUCUCCCAAUACUGACAAUCUUGACUCAAACUACUUCAAGGAAAGUUUGCCCAUUGCAUGCUCUUGGAAGCAGCCGGAUUAUCUACUCUAUUUAUGAAACAAAGGGAAUACAAGACGUGGAAUGAGUCCAUGAAAAAGCCAUGGACGUAAAGGUUUCAAAUUGCACAUCAUAGUAGGAACCGAACCAUGGACAUUAUUUGAACUGAGAUCUAAUGUUUUCAAAUUUUCCAUGUUCCUAUUUCAUAAAGGAUGGAUCCGUUGAUUUUAUUGAAAGAAAGGUCAAUAUAUCUCAAACUGGUUAAACUGUCUACUCUGGAAUGAAUGGAACCACUGAUAAUGUUUGAAUCGGGAUCUAUGGCUUCCAAAUUUGCCAAGUUUCAUAUUUUCAAAUGGAUGUAUCCGUUGAUUUGAUUGGAAUAAGGCUUUAGAUAUCUCAAAAUGGUUAUACUAAGGUUGUUAAUUUUAUUUUGUUCUAUCCGGAAUGACCGGUAUUCUUGUUCCAGUUAAAAAAACAAAAUAAACCGAAAUAAAUUUCAUGUCAAUCAGAAUCUUGGCCUGUUCUUGAAAUAAAUCGGCCUGUUUUAUUUGGUGUUAUCCUGGUCUCAGUAUCUGGAUCAUAAAUUAGAAAUAUUAACCUGAGUCGAUCUAAUAUGUUCUCGUCUUAAUAUUUUUUAAGAAAAAAUAUACAGUCUUGAAUUUUUUUUAGUCAAACGAUAUUUUUAUCAAUCGUCCAUAUUGUCUUCAAACCUAUUUAGUUGAUCGGGUCAUAUUCAUUCAACUCUUAUUUUUUUUACUUGUGUUUAAAAUUUAAAAAACAUAAUUUCAAGUUAGUUUUUUAAAUUGUCUAAUGAAAAAGGAAUCGAACAAGUGAUGUAGAGAAAGUCCAUACAAAUUCUUCGAAUUCCCAAUUUCUGAAGGGAUCGAACCUGUAAUCUUGAAAGACUGAUGUAGUUGUGGUGUAGAGAGAGUCCAAAACCGGUGUUUAUUGUCUAGCUUACACUGGUAAGCAAUUCAUAGCACCAAAAAUUAAGAACUGAAGAAAUGCAAUGCCAAUUGUCAUGGUGAAGCAGCGUCAAAUAAAAUGGAACUUGAACAGUGUGAGUUCAUGGGUGAAAAUGAGAGCAUGAAAUUUCACCACCAUUGUUUUCUCGUACUUCUCAGUUUGUUUUUAUUGGUCUCAACAAUCUGUCACUCAAAAGAACAGGCAUUCUAUUUUUGAUCACGAACAGUAGCAUUUGAAAACUAAGAAGGCCAGGCAGUCAAUCCAUCCUUUCAUGAAAAAUAAUCGCUCGCGUCUUGGAGACCAUGUUUGCGUCUAAUGCUUGCCUGCGAAAUUUAUGAAUGAAUUAAGUGCAUGGUUUUUUCAUGGACUCAUUCCACGUCUUGUAGGCCCUUUGUUUCAUAAAUAGAGUAGGCUAGUUACAUGUCCCGCGCGAUGCCGCGGGUCAAUUAUUUUUUAUAUUUUUUAAAAAACUAAAAUUUGAAAGUGUUAGGUCUUUUUACAAAAUUAUACCCAAAAGUCUUAGGUUUGGUUGCAACGCCUAAACCAAGAGUAAUAUCUAUAAUAUUAAUAAUAACAUUAAACUUGCAUGACCCAAAUUUAAGUAGGUUUGGCUACAAUACCAGACCUAAUAGCAUUGGACGUGGGUCUAGUUGCAAGGGUGUGUCAUAAAAAUGUGAUAAUUAAAUAGAUUAAUUAAAAAGAAAAAGACAGAAAAAAAAACCAACAGAAAGAAAAAAACUAAUGAAGAAAAAGAAAAAAAAUAUAUGCAUUAACUAGGUUAACCCUUCAAACCAGGUUAACCCGUCAAACCUUAGAUUCACGUCGUAAAAGUUUGAUAACUAAAUAGGAAAAAACAAAUUAAUGGGUUAACCCAGAAUUAACCGGGCUAACUCGUCAAAUCAGGUUAACCCGUCAAACCCGGAAUCCGUGUCAUGAAAGUUUAAUAACUAAAUAGAAAAAAAAAUUUAACAUUAACAAUUUAAAUUAAACAAAAAAAUUAAUUAAAAAGAAAAAAAAACAAAAAAAAACUAAAGGCAUCAGCCUUUUAACCGUGGACUGCACUGUGCAAUCCAUAGUCAAAUGCAUAAAAAAAAAAAAAAAAAAAAAAAAAACUAAAGACAUCAGCCGAGAACUAUAUAGAAAAAAAUUUAAUAUUAAUAAACUAAAUUAAUUAAAAAGAAGAAAACCUCUAAGAAGUAAAAAAAAUACUAAAUAGAAAAAAAUUUAACAUUAACAAAUUAAACUAAACGAAAAAAAAAUUAAAAAGAUAAAAAAAGCAAAAAAAACAAUUUAAGGUUAACUCGGCAAACCAGGUUAACCAGUUAAAUCUGGGAUUCGUGUCAUGAAUAUUUGAUAACUAAAUAAAAAAAAAGUGAACGUUAACAAACUGAACUAAACAAAAAAAAUUAAUUAAAAUGAAAAAAAAAUUUGGGUUAACUCGUCAAACCAUGUUAACCCGUUAAACUCAGGAUCUGUGUCAUGAAAGUCUGAUAACUAAAUAAAAAAAUUAACAUUAACAAACUAAAUUAAACAAAAAAAAUAUAUGAAAAAAAAAAAACAAAAUUGACGGGUCAACCUAGAAUUAACUGAGUUCACCCGUGAAACCAGGUUAACCCGUGAAACUCGAGAUAUAUGUUAUGAAAGUCAGAUAACUAAAUAUAAAGAAAUUUAAUAUUAACAAACUAAACUAAACAAAAAAAAAGCAAAAAAAUAAUUUCUAAGUUAACUUGUCAAACCAGGUUAAUGUGUUAAACUCAGAAAACAUUUCAUGAAAGUUUGAUAACUAAAUAAAAAAAAUUUAACAUUAAUAAACUAAAUUAAACAAAAAAAAAGAAUUUGUUAAAAGAAAAAAAAAAGAAAGAAAAAAAAAAAUAAUCCCGAAAUGCAUUAAAAAAAACAACUAAAAAAAUAAGACAACUUAAAAAAAAAACUAGUAUAUGUUACAAUAAUCCGGUUGCUUCCAAGAGCAUGCAAUGGGCAAACUUUCCUUGAAGUAGUUUGAGUCAACAUCGUCACUAUUCGCCCCCGCGCGCGCGCGCACCCAACUGAACUUGCACGUCAAUGUAGACUAAUAAUCAGCUUGUCCUAGCCUACAAGUCGAGUCCAACCUAACCAAUCUACUGUUAUUGUAAAAAAAUAAAAUUCAUAAGAAUUUAUAAUACAAAUAAUAAUAUGUUUUCAAUAUUAAUAAUAAUAUUUUCUUUCAAAUUUAUUAAUUUUUUUUAUUAAUAAUAUUAAUUAUAAUAAAAAUAAUAAUAUUUAUAAUACAAAUAAUUAUAUUUAGAAUCCUAGGACUGAGCGCCAAGUAGCUAUAGCCUGAAGGGGUGGCCAGUGGAUGUUGCAUGCCCAGCGCCCAAGGUAGCCAAGCGCUAGGUGUCCGCAACCUCAGUAGGCACGCCUCUAGCCUGAUGCUUGCAGCUUGAUAGUCGCAGCCUCACACAUGUUCCUGUUAAACAGUGCUGUACAUAAUAAAAAUUUAUAGUACUCCGUGCUACAGUAUGUAACAUUAUAAUCUAUAAUGAAUUCACUUACUUUGCACAAUAGCCUGCACUAUGGUAAAAUACUGAUAAGUAUUAGUAAGAGGAUAGCUUUUCCUGGAAUAAUAAUUGAAUGCUGAAGUUGAUUCGGCUUUUUCCGGGGAAAAGAAAAAAGAUAAUUCCUUCUGUAUUUUGGAAUGCUAGAUAUAGGUAUGGUGCUCGUAUUGUUUUCUUCACUUGAGUUUACUGCCCCACAUAAUUCCUGCUUCUUCAUUUUAUUUUCCCCGAAGAAGUUUAUAUAUGGGCAUGGUGCUCAUCAAAUGCAAUAAUAGAUUUUGGAAAUUUAAACUAAAGUAUUUUCUGACAUUACGAGAGGGCUACGGUGCUUGUGCUGGAGUUUACUGCCCCACCUAUCAAAUUGCAAAGAAAAGUCACUAAAAAAGAGCAUCAUCAAUAUUACAAGAAAGAUGGUCCUUCCAUAAUCAUCGAGUUAAUGGACCACAUACCGACACUGACAUUAAUUGUGUUUUCUUAUGGAAUCACACUAUUGCCGCUCCCAACACGGCAAAGUGACUAAGGUGGUGAUUUUUGUUGUGGUAGCUGGAGGUGGAGGAGGAGUGAGGGAGGUUGGUGUGAUGGAUAUGGAGUUACCAGUACACUACUAGUUGUGCUCUCAUCUAAGCAGCUUCGAUCCAUUUCUUUUUUUUCUUUUCAAAUAAAAAUGCAAUUGAUACUGUAAAAUUAGAGAGGUUUUUUUUUUUUUAAAGCAAAAAAAAUACUAUUUAGCCGGAACGGAACCGGAAUGCUCUAGCCAAAAUUUAAUCGAAAUAUUUUGUCUGAGAUUUUCAAAAUAGAUCGAGAUUCGGAUUAGAUGAAAUUUAUUUUGGUUUAUUUUGUUUUUUAAAGUGGAACAAAAAUACCAUUCAUUCCGAAGAGAACAUAAUAGAAUUAACAAUCUUAAUAUAAUUAUUUUGAGAUAUCUAAAACAUUAUUUCAAUCAAAUCAACGAAUCCAUCCCUUUAAAAAUAUAAAACUUGGCAAAUUUAGAAGCCAUAGAUCUCUAUUCAAAUAAUAUCAGUGGUUCCAUUCAUUCCAGAGUAGGCAAUUUAUCCAAUUUGAGAUAUAUUAACCUUUUUUCCGAUCAAAUCAACAGAUCCAUCUUUUAUGAAAGAGUGAACAUGGAAAAUUUGAAAACAUUAGAUCUCAGUUCAAAUAAUCCGGUUGCUUCCAAGAGCAUGCAAUGGGCAAACUUUCCUUGAAGUUGUUUGAGUCAAGAUCGUCACUAUUCGCCCCCGCGCGCACGCGCACCCGACUGACCUUGCACGUCAAUGUAGACUAAUAAUCAGCUUGUCCUAGCUUACAAGUUGAGUCCAACCUAACCAAUCUACUGUUAUUGUAAAAAAAAAAAAAAAAAAAAAGCAAUCCAAUUCCCAAUUCAAUAUAUACAGAAUCUAUAAAAAUUAAAAAUAUUACAUUGCAGCUACGAUUAUCUCUGGAAAAAAGUUUAAGAAAAAAAAGUAUACUUGCAUUAUUUACAAAUUAAAAUUUAAAAGCUGUUUGAAAACAUAGUUGAAAUUAUGUUUUUUUAAAAAUAAUUUUUUAUUUAAUUAUUUUUCUAAUAAAAAAUUUGAAUGUGGUGAAAAUAUAAAAAUUAACUUUUUUAUAUUAUUAAAUUGUUUUGAUGUGAUGAUGUGAAAAAUAAUUUUUUAAUAAUAAAAUUUUAUUAUUUUAAUAUAUUUUCAAACAAAAAAUAUUUUAAAAAAUAAUUAUUAACAUAAUCACAAAUAUGAAAUUUUCUUGCUUACUUUCGAAUCCAAAAUCUUGACCUUCAAUGAAAAUCAUGUCUCAAAAUUUUUUAUCAUGGUUCCUUGCUGAAAAUGCACAGGAUAUCAACAAACCUUCAAUGCACAUAAAUGUAGGAGAGAUAAUGUUUUCACUAUUUCAACUUAAAUCUACAAGACAUGGGCAGUACGAUGAUCAGAAUACGACUAUGUAUUAGCAUUAUUUUUCUACUCGGUCUCUUUCCACGAAAAUCAGGGAGAAUAGAAUAGAAUUAACUGCUGGCCUUCUUAAUUCCCAAAAUCCACUAUUGGUGAUUUGUAAGCCUUUUUCUUAAUCACAACGCGUGAAAGACCAGACGAUCUUGACUUGGAACGAGUCCAUGGGAAUUGAUGCCAUGCACUUUAUUAAUAAAUUUAGCAUUAUCAUUGAAGUGAAGCAUUAGACACAAACAUGGCGUCCAUUGUUUAUGAGCCAAAACUUCUUGCAAUUUUAAGCAUCUCAUUUUUCUUGUCCUGUAUUUUUGUAUCUGUGGCUGCACGUGAUGACUCGGCCUUGCUAGCAUCAGAAGGCAAGGCUUUGCUUGAGAGUGGAUGGUGGAGUGACUACAGCAACCUCACCUCACAUCGUUGCAACUGGACUGGCAUACUCUGUGAUCGGGCUGGAAGCAUCACUGAGAUUUCCCCACCUUAUCUAGUGGGAAAUAAGUUUGGAAAGAUGAACUUUUCUUGCUUCUCAAACCUUGCCCGUCUCGACCUGGCCAACCAUGAGCUCAGUGGGAGCAUCCCGCCUCAAAUUUCUAUCCUUCCUCAACUCAGAUACCUCAACCUGUCCUCAAAUAAUCUAGCAGGUGAGUUACCGUCUUCACUUGGAAAUCUCAGCCGAUUGGUUGAGCUUGAUUUUUCUUCCAAUUAUCUCAACUAUUCCAUCCCUCCAGAACUAGGCAAUCUUAAAAAUCUUGUUACUUUGAACUUGUCUUAUAACAGCUUCAGCGGCCCAAACCCUUCGGCACUUUGUCAUUUGGACAAUCUAACGCAUUUAUUUAUGGAUCAUAAUAGUCUCGAAAGUGCCCUCCCUAGAGAAAUAGGGAACAUGAGAAAUCUAGAGAGUUUGGACGUGAGUUAUAAUACACUUAAUGGUCCAAUCCCUCGAACAUUGGGUAGGUUAGCCAAGUUGAGGUCUUUGAUCAUUCGUUAUGCCAAAAUCAGUGGAUCCAUUCCUUUGGAAAUAGGAAAUUUGACCAACCUUGAAGAGUUAGACCUCUCUCACAACCAAAUCAACGGAUCCAUCCCUUUGGAAAUACAAAACUUGACAAAUUUCUUUUUAUCCAAUUUGAUUCUUCUAGAUCUUUCAUACAACCAAAUCACCGGUUUGAUUCCUUUUUCAUUAGGCAAUUUAACAAACUUGGCAAGGCUAGACCUCUCUCACAACCAAAUCAACGGAUCCAUCAUUGUAGAAAUACAGAACUUGACAAAUUUGGAGGAAUUAUAUUUGAAUUCAAACAAUAUCAGUGGUUCAAUUCCUUCAACUUUGAGCCUUUUAUCUAAUUUGAUUCUUCUAGAUCUUUCCUACAACCAAAUCACCGGUUUGAUUCCUUUUUCAUUAGGCAAUUUAACAAACUUGGCAAGGCUAAACCUCUCUCACAACCAAAUCAACGGAUCCAUCCUUGUAGAAAUACAGAACUUGACAAAUUUAGAGGAAUUAUAUUUGAAUUCAAACAAUAUCAGUGGUUCGAUUCCUUCAACUUUGAGCCUUUUAUCCAAUUUGAUUUUUCUAGAUCUUUCCUCCAACCAAAUCACCGGUUUGAUUCCUUUUUCAUUAGGCAAUUUAACAAACUUGGCAAGGCUAAACCUCUCUCACAACCAAAUCAACGGAUCCAUCCUUGUAGAAAUACAGAACUUGACAAAUUUGGAGGAAUUAUAUUUGAAUUCAAACAAUAUCAGUGGUUCGAUUCCUUCAACUUUGAGCCUUUUAUCCAAUUUGAUUUUUCUAGAUCUUUCCUACAACCAAAUCACCGGUUUGAUUCCUUUUUCAUUAGGCAAUUUAACAAACUUGACAACUCUAUACUUCUCUCACAACCAAAUCAACGGAUCCAUCCCUUCAUCUUUGAAGUAUUGUAAUAAUUUGUUCUCCCUAGAUUUAAGCUUCAAUAAUUUAAGUGAAGAGAUACCCUCCGAACUAUAUGGUUUGACCUAUUUAAAAUAUGUGAAUUUUCGUUACAAUAACCUCUCAGGCUCUGUUUCCUUCCAUUGGCUACAACUCUUUCAUGUGUAUUUCACCUGUGAUUCUCUUCAUAGCCAAAGAACCAACAAUCCUGAAAUUUUUCAAGAUACUGCAUUUGAGGGCAAUAAAGAUUUACACCCUGAUUUCUCACGUUGUCUAUCUAUUUACUCCCCACCUUCACAAACCUACUUGUUACCUUCAAAAGACAACAUAAGGAUUCAUUCCAUCAAGAUAUUUCUUCCUAUCACCACCAUUUCACUUUGUCUCUUGUGCCUCGGAUGUUGUUAUCUGUCUCGACGCAAGGCUACCCAACCCGAGCCAGCAUCAUCAAAGAAUGGAGACUUGUUUUCCAUAUGGAAUUAUGAUGGGACGAUUGCAUACGAAGACAUCAUUGCAGCGACCAAGAACUUUGACCUCAGAUACUGUAUCGGAACCGGUGGUUAUGGGAGCGUCUACCGAGCACAACUUCCAAGUGGGAAAUUAGUUGCCUUGAAGAAACUUCAUCGUCGAGAGGCAGAGGAGCCGGCUUUUGACAAGAGUUUCAAAAAUGAGGUGGAAGUGCUCACACAAAUACGUCACAGGAGCAUUGUAAAGCUUUAUGGAUUUUGUUUGCACCAGCGCUGCAUGUUUCUUGUUUACGAGUACAUGGAAAAGGGAAGCUUGUUUUGUGCCUUGAGAAAUGAUGUUGGAGCUGUGGAAUUGAAAUGGAUGAAAAGAGCAGGCAUCAUCAAAGACAUUGCUCACGCAUUAUCUUACUUGCAUCAUGACUGCAACCCGCCAAUUGUUCAUCGAGACAUAUCAAGCAGCAAUGUUCUGUUGAAUUCAGAAUCCAAGUCUUUUGUUGCUGAUUUUGGCGUGGCUAGACUUCUCGAUCCUGAUUCGUCCAACCAUACUGUACUUGCUGGUACCUAUGGAUACAUUGCCCCAGGUAAAAAUAUUUCUUCUUAACAUGCAUAUUUACCACUCAUGCACUGUAAAACUAAAGCAAACUCUCUUUUAAAUAUAUAUAUUAAUUUCGUUUUGUAUAUGGACAGAGUUUGCUUAUACUAUGGUGGUGACAGAGAAAUGUGAUGUGUACAGCUUCGGAGUUGUGGCGCUUGAAACUUUGAUGGGUAGGCAUCCGGGAGAUGUCCUAUCAUCAUCUGCUCAGGCUAUUACAUUGAAAGAAGUGUUAGAUCCUCGUUUGCCACCUCCAACAAAUGAGAUUGUCAUACAGAAUAUAUGUACCAUUGCAAGUCUCAUAUUUUCUUGCUUACAUUUAAAUCCAAAAUAUCGACCUUCAAUGAAAUUCGUGUCUCAAGAAUUUCUAUCUCCCAAGAGAUUAUUGGGAGGUCUCGAGAUUUCUUUGUUGGAGCUGCGAAAUCUUGGCUGGCACACAAAUGUAGGUGAGAUCACACUUCCUCGCUGAAAAAGUCAACUUCGAUCUUGCAUGGAACUUCAACGAGAGCCUCCAAGAGCAUGCCUUUAUAGUAUUAACUAUAGCUUUAAAGGUGUUGGAAAAUAAACUGAUCAUCUCUUUUUUCAACAUGGGAGGAUUAACUUGUGCAGCUACCUCACUCCAUCUUCG
This 17650-nucleotide long non-coding RNA is filed under the name Populus tremula. RNAcentral describes it as "long non-coding RNA (PTRE_LNC001886)". The record is from RNAcentral. Lineage: Eukaryota; Viridiplantae; Streptophyta; Magnoliopsida; Malpighiales; Salicaceae.